GGAUAUACAGGCACACUGGCUGUGACAUCUGUCACCCCAGUGAUGACCAGGGCUGACUUGGUGUGCUCACUUCCUCCUUUACCACACCAUGUGUGUCACUCCCAAAGCUAUAAAUAUGGAGGACUGUUCUUCAUUCAAGGAUAUACAAGUAGUUGCAUUCUACUACUAAAACAUCUAAACAAGUUCUUAAAAUUCUUUCUUCCAGCUACAUUAUUAUUAUCUAUAAUAAUCCUAUUGUUACCAUAGAACACCCAAAGUUAUCUGUUGAUCAAGUUU
Unclassified non-coding RNA from Dipodomys ordii (Ord's kangaroo rat), 276 nucleotides. Its record names the gene 7SK. It matches the Rfam family "7SK RNA". From Rfam's summary of the family: 7SK was discovered as an abundant small nuclear RNA in the mid-70s but a possible function has only recently been suggested. Two independent studies have found that 7SK RNA binds the CDK9/cyclin T complex (known as elongation factor P-TEFb). P-TEFb activates transcription by phosphorylating the C-terminal domain of RNA polymerase II. Lineage: Eukaryota; Metazoa; Chordata; Mammalia; Rodentia; Heteromyidae. The record is from Ensembl.